CAGAGCUAGUGCACAGCCAAGGGCCAUGUUGCAUUUGCGGCCGGUUAGCAGAACGGCCGUCCCGCUGCCUUUGACAGCAGCAGCAUGUGCCUUUGGCGCCGAUUUCAAGCCACCUGGACGCAGCCGACAAAUAAUGGUUCUCCCGCCUAGCCAGUCCCGGAGGCUAUGGCCAACCUUCUACCGGAAGUCGAGCAUAGCCCGCCCUGACUCAAAAUGGAUAGGACAUGACUACUAUUGCUUCUAGUACUACUACGGUGCUAGGGACUGGGCGCCAUCUGGGGACGAGAGAACACAGUCGUGACGAUAGCUACAUAGGACGAAUGUUCCGCCACAUCCGGUACAUACGCACUAGAACCUCAUGGAUCAAAAGAAUCAACGAAAUAGACCGGAUGUACAGCAAGGGAACGACAAGACAGAAAGCCAAAAGCGAAACAGAGUGGGCAAGGAUAAUCGCCAAAGAAAUUAACAAGGUAGAAGAAGAAAGGUGGUGAACCGCAACGGGUAAAAAGAAGAGCAUGUACUUCUACAGUGGAAACAAAGGUCAGCGAGCACCAGAAACGUUCUACAGGAGCGACCACAGAAGCGGACUCCUUUUUCAAGCCCGGACUGGAUCCCUAUUAACUAGACGGCGAAUACAAGAAUUGUUCCACACUGACAGCGCGGAAUGCGCCAUCUGCAACACCGGGGAAGACAAGGACCUCCGACACAUACUAUUCUCUUGUCCGACACUGGAACAAACAAGACCGAAACCGGAACCAAUGUUCUCGCUAUUGGGCUUUGGCAGCGACUACUCGACACCGAGCAUAGAGCAGACAAAGCGCCACCUGUAAGCCUGGCAAAAAAGCGUCGAGAGAAAGUUGA
Long non-coding RNA from Ornithodoros turicata, 861 nucleotides. RefSeq lists it as uncharacterized. The transcript has 2 exons. NCBI's taxonomy places the organism in Eukaryota, Metazoa, Arthropoda, Arachnida, Ixodida, Argasidae. The record is from RefSeq and is a predicted model, not a curated record.